This 253-nucleotide ribosomal RNA is filed under the name uncultured bacterium. Its description in RNAcentral is "partial 16S ribosomal RNA". It matches the Rfam family "Bacterial small subunit ribosomal RNA", at positions 524 to 776 of the family's 1533-position model. The record is from RNAcentral.
UACGUAGGGGGCGAGCGUUGUCCGGAAUCAUUGGGCGUAAAGAGCUCGUAGGCGGUCUGUUGCGUCGGCUGUGAAAACCCGGGGCUCAACCCCGGGCCUGCAGCCGAUACGGGCAGACUAGAGUUCGGCAGGGGAGACUGGAAUUCCUGGUGUAGCGGUGAAAUGCGCAGAUAUCAGGAGGAACACCGGUGGCGAAGGCGGGUCUCUGGGCCGAUACUGACGCUGAGGAGCGAAAGCGUGGGGAGCGAACAGG